RNAcentral lists this ribosomal RNA (252 nucleotides) under uncultured bacterium. Its description in RNAcentral is "partial 16S ribosomal RNA". It matches the Rfam family "Bacterial small subunit ribosomal RNA", at positions 524 to 776 of the family's 1533-position model. The record is from RNAcentral.
UACGAAGGGGGCUAGCGUUGCUGGAAUCACUGGGCGUAAAGGGUGCGUAGGCGGGUUUUUAAGUCAGGGGUGAAAUCCUGGAGCUCAACUCCAGAACUGCCUUUGAUACUGAGAAUCUUGAGUAUGGGAGAGGUGAGUGGAACUGCGAGUGUAGAGGUGAAAUUCGUAGAUAUUCGCAAGAACACCAGUGGCGAAGGCGGCUCACUGGCCCAUAACUGACGCUGAGGCACGAAAGCGUGGGGAGCAAACAGG